This 610-nucleotide ribosomal RNA is filed under the name uncultured Methanocorpusculaceae archaeon. RNAcentral describes it as "bacterial SSU rRNA". It matches the Rfam family "Archaeal small subunit ribosomal RNA", at positions 266 to 876 of the family's 1478-position model. The record is from RNAcentral. Lineage: Archaea; Methanobacteriati; Methanobacteriota; Methanomicrobia; Methanomicrobiales; Methanocorpusculaceae.
GGUACGGGUUGUGAGAGCAAGAGCCCGGAGAUGGAUUCUGAGACAUGAAUCCAGGCCCUACGGGGCGCAGCAGGCGCGAAAACUUUACAAUGCGGGAAACCGUGAUAAGGGGACACCGAGUGCCAGCAUCAUAUGCUGGCUGUCCAGAUGUGUAAAAUACAUCUGUUAGCAAGGGCCGGGCAAGACCGGUGCCAGCCGCCGCGGUAAUACCGGCUGCUCGAGUGAUGGCCACUAUUACUGGGUUUAAAGCGUCCGUAGCUUGACUGAUAGGUCUCUUGGGAAAUCUUAACGCUUAACGUUAAGGCGUCUAAGAGAUACCGUCAGUCUUGGAACUGGGAGAGGUAAACCGUACUUCGGGGGUAGGAGUGAAAUCUUGUAAUCCUCGAGGGACGACCUAUGGCGAAGGCAGUUUACCAGAACAGCUUCGACAGUGAGGGACGAAAGCUGGGGGAGCAAACGGGAUUAGAUACCCCGGUAGUCCCAGCCGUAAACAAUGUGCGUUAGGUGUAUCGGUAACCACGCGUUACUGAUGCGCCGCAGAGAAAUCGUGAAACGCACCACCUGGGAAGUACGGUCGCAAGGCUGAAACUUAAAGGAAUUGGCGGGGGAG